RNAcentral lists this small RNA (283 nucleotides) under Pantoea sesami. RNAcentral's name for it is "ryfA RNA". It matches the Rfam family "ryfA RNA". Rfam says of the family: This family consists of a number of bacterial RNA genes of 305 bases in length. The record is from RNAcentral. Lineage: Bacteria; Pseudomonadati; Pseudomonadota; Gammaproteobacteria; Enterobacterales; Erwiniaceae.
ACAGACACCGCAGAGUCAUUUAAGAUGACUUAAAGAUAGGUGCCCAUGAGCGGUAACACAAGCACGAUCUAGUGUCGCGGUUGCAUAUACAGUGGUGACAUCUUGAAGCGGUCUGAACAAGAACCGCAGAAUGAAAGGGUACUUUUGUAUUGUGAUCGUUGUAUCUGGUGCGUUGUUGUAAUCCGUGAACGGUGGCUGGAGUAUCUCCAAUAACUCAAUCUCGGUGGCAAUAAACGCAGCAGGCAUGUAAGCCUAAUUGCCGUGCUUCGGGACGGCUUUCCUU